This 327-nucleotide ribosomal RNA is filed under the name uncultured eukaryote. RNAcentral describes it as "partial 18S ribosomal RNA". It matches the Rfam family "Eukaryotic small subunit ribosomal RNA", at positions 1470 to 1796 of the family's 1831-position model. The record is from RNAcentral.
CCCUUAGAUGUUCUGGGCCGCACACGCGCUACACUGAAGGAGGCAGCGUGUACUCCUGGAUCGAAAGAUUUGGGUAACCCGCGAAUCUCCUUCGUGCUAGGGAUUGAGGUUUGCAAUUAUCCUUCAUGAACGAGGAAUUCCCAGUAAGUGCAAGUCAUAAGCUUGCGCUGACUACGUCCCUGCCCUUUGUACACACCGCCCGUCGCUACUACCGAUUGAAUGAUUUAGUGAGGACUUCGGACUGGGACCGAUGCGGCUUUCGGGCUGCGUCGGUAUUUCGGAAAGAUGUCCAAACUGUAUCAUUUAGAGGAAGUAAAAGUCGUAACA